Molecule: non-coding RNA, 93 nt
Organism: Tulasnella sp. 403
Lineage: Eukaryota; Fungi; Basidiomycota; Agaricomycetes; Cantharellales; Tulasnellaceae
Source: the annotation of a GenBank genome assembly
UGCUUCGUGGCGCAAUUGGUUAGCGCGUCUGACUGUUAAGCUUGAGACAAGUGGCAAAUCAGGAGGCUGUGAGUUCGAGCCUCACCGAAGCAG